RNAcentral lists this transfer RNA (89 nucleotides) under Clostridia bacterium. Its description in RNAcentral is "tRNA-Ser". It matches the Rfam family "tRNA". Rfam says of the family: Transfer RNA (tRNA) molecules are approximately 80 nucleotides in length. Their secondary structure includes four short double-helical elements and three loops (D, anti-codon, and T loops). The record is from RNAcentral. Lineage: Bacteria; Bacillati; Bacillota; Clostridia.
GGAGAAAUCGCGUAGUUGGUCGAGCGCGCACGACUGGAAAUCGUGUAACCGCCAGAAGCGGUUCGAGGGUUCGAAUCCCUCUUUCUCCG